Molecule: long non-coding RNA, 3176 nt
Organism: Pygocentrus nattereri (red-bellied piranha)
Lineage: Eukaryota; Metazoa; Chordata; Actinopteri; Characiformes; Serrasalmidae
Source: Ensembl
UGACAGCUUACUAAAACUCUUGGUGUAUUGUCAGAAUAUGUGAAACCUCAGGUCAAGAACCUUCUGAUGUUAAGUUUGACAGACAAAUAAAUUUUGUCCUCAAAAGGAGUUUCUGUCAACUCAGGUCAAUUGUCUUUAAUUCAUUUGUUACUCCUCAGGUACUGCAACAUGCAGCUGCAAGAUUGCUCACAGGCACUAUAAGAAAAGAGAACAUAUCACUCAGGUUUAACAGAUCUUUUAUCUAUUUUUAAGGCCCUUAAUAGAGCUGCACCUUUUUAUGUCCCACAGUUACCACAACUUCAUUCCUCGUCCAGGUCCCUAAGGUCUUUUAGCACCUGGCUGUUCCACAGCCUUGGCUGAAGCUCAUGACUGAGCUUUUGCAGUUGCAGUACCACGAAACUGCCUAAAAUAAAAUCACAUUCUUUCCUGACAUCAAAUUAACGUAACAGGAUAUCUUCUCCUUUCUAGGGACGGGAAGCAAAUUGAUUUCGUAGCAAUGAAUGAACAUUACGAUUUUGAAUUUCAGCAAGCUGUGAACCCCCCGAAAAAACUAAGACCAUUCUGCUGGUAGGUGUCCAAUUGGUAGGUGUCUCAAUUGUGCCUUCAUGGUUGGUCUCACAGUUUCAAAUUCAUAGUUAUUCACACAUGCCAACAUAGGGCUGUAGUCAAGAUCACUUUGUCAAGUCCAAGACCAGCCCAAGACUAUGACUAGUGGCAAUCAGUCAGAAUCAAGUUGGAGUCCAAAUGAGAAUAAACAAAUUAAUAUAAUUUCUGCCCUCACAGGGGGACAAGCUCCUGGUGGAAUGCACAUACAACACUGGUAACUGAACAAGACUCACUUGGUGAGUGCUACACACUAAUGAGCUCAAAGAGCUGGGAUGGAAAGUCAGUCAGAGUAUCAGUAAAUGCUCAAGAGGAUUCAGCAGUACAUAACAGUCGGGAACAUAGAAAACAUGUCGCUCUUCGUGGGGAUGAUUCCUGAGCUCAGAGCCACUCCCUCUGUGAGCUGCGAUACAAACAGAUCUGACAUGAUGACUCCUGCUGUGGGGUUAGUGCUGCUCCUCUGGCUCUUAGCAUCACUGGGUCAUAACUCUCCUCAUGACCACAGAAAUGGAGGUGGUCAAACAAGAAGACAAGUGACAUUUGAGUGACUAUUCAGUAGUGCUAGUACUAAUUUACUCAGAUAAUGCAGCAAUGAUGUGAAUGGUUGGUUUCAAUGGCUAGAUUUGGAUACUUGGUAUGACGCAAACUGUAUGUCCAAAAGGUCAGAGUUCAGCUAAGCUAUAAGAUGCACCAUUUACUGACACAGGUGCUCUGUUGUGCACAUGCAGUUUGUAUAAUCUCCAUAGAAAAGCCAAUAUAUGGGGAGACACUCUGGAAUGGCUGCACAUGAGCCUGAGGUCACUAUGACCACUGGUAAAUGACUAAAGGGGUAUAAAGCCCCCAACAAUGGGGUGUAGAGCAGCUCCAUCCAAUACAUUUGGAUUGAGUUGGAGUGGAGUUUGUGAUCCAGAGCUAAUCAUCUAACAUCAGUACCUGACCUCACUAAUGCUCUAGUGAAUACAGUCAAAUCCUCACAGCAGUGGUCCAACAUUUAGUGUAAAGCCCACCCAAAAGAGUGGAGGUUGUUACUACAGUAAAGGGAAACAAACUCCCCAAUAAUACUGUUGAUUUCAGAAGAAACGCUGGAUGAGCAGGUGUCUACAAACCUUUGGACAUACAGUUUAUGUUGCUUUAGUUUACUUAGGUAUUUCUUCUCAAUGAAAAUUACACCAAUCAUUAAAUAAAUCAUACUGAUAUUUCACUUAUUUCUUAUACCAGAUGUUUUUUUGUAAAAAGCUGCCGGAAGGAGAAGAUUAUUGUUCUCAGGUAAGCAAAAUGAAUAAAACACUUUAAAGGAGUUGAUUUUCUUCCCACAUUCUGAUAUGUAAGUAAAGUAAUAAAAUGAGAAAAUCAUAAAAGCUAUAGGUGCUAUUUUGAGUCAGUUCUUUAAAGCCAGGCAUACGCUGCGAUUUUAUAAAUGACAACAAAGAUAACCGAGUCCGACUGACAUGACUUACACUGCAGACAAUUUCCAAUAGAGCUGUUUCAUUCAAAAAAGCUCAGUGGCUUCUGAAUUCUGAGCAAAAGCACUGGCUGAAUCUCAAAUUACUCCCUGCUCCCUACAUAGUGCACCAUGUAUUCAAAUAGUGUCUCCUGCGCCCAUACAGUGCAUCACAUAUCUAGCAAAUGACCUUUUCGGAUUCAGAAAUAUGUGCACAAUUCCAUACUGGACAAACAGUGCACUAUUUUGGUGUAGAAGCCAGAAUUUAGUGCACUACAUAAGACGUAGGGGGCUGAUGAGAUUCUGCCAUUGACAAACCGCUACAACAGCUUUGCUAACUUGUGGCACAGUACCCAUGUUUACAUGCUGCCCAAUAAUCCAGUAAUAAUCCGUUCAACAUGGCGGAAGCAGAAACUGCUCAAUCGGAUUGGCAAAAAUCUUGGAUGCCAUACACUGUAGCUAAAGAACAGGUGAUCUACAGAUAGCUCUACAAAGACAAAAAUCACCAUAUUUAUUUAUACCCUACAAUUCAACUCAGUCAAAUGGAGCAAAGCAGGCAUUUACGGACAUUGGUGCCACAAAUCUUGACUUUUAGGAGCUAAUUGUGAGUGGUUUUGGGUGUGACUUUGAGCAAUAGGUUCGUGAGGCUGCUUAGACUGUGAGACACAGAAGUCAGUCACAUGGACUGAGUUCUAUGUGUUAUUAAUACAUCUGUUGUAACAUCUUUGUACCUUUUACAUACACUUUGUUUCUUCAGGCAGUCUUGGCCUUCUGUGACAAACGUAUUCUUCUAAAAUGCCAUGUCAUCCUUCAUCAGCUAUUUCAGUUCUAUUUAUUAGUUACACCACUGCAAAAAAUAAUAAUCACUGGCCUUAAGCCAUUACAUUCAUACAUACCAUUAUCUAAAGCACACUUUAAAAAAUGGGGCUAUGCUCUUGGUUACAUCAUGUUACAUCAAUUUACAUAUCCAACUUUUCCAUUAUUUUAUUGAUCGAGUGAGUACAAAAUGUUAUAAUCUGAUGAUCCCAAAUUGUGAACAAAGAAGGAAAUGUUUAAAUACAUGCUUUUAAAUAAAAUGGAUGUAAAACGUUACUGUCUGUGUAUGUGCAGGCCAAGGUUCUUAAUUAAUGUC